UAUAUGGACAAAGACUUAUAUUUACAUACUUUUUUAAAUGUCUCGCAGGUCAGAGGGGGAAUCUUUGACAUCCCAACACAAGUGACGAUUGGUGAACCAACCAAUACCAAUGUUCCAGUACCCGACGGAGACAUUACACCGGUGGACGGAUCCUUUAGU
Biomphalaria glabrata is the source of this 159-nucleotide long non-coding RNA. RefSeq lists it as uncharacterized. The record is from RefSeq and is a predicted model, not a curated record. Lineage: Eukaryota; Metazoa; Mollusca; Gastropoda; Planorbidae. The transcript is spliced from 4 exons.